GGGUUGUGAGGUUAAGCGACUAAGCGUACACGGUGGAUGCCCUGGCAGUCAGAGGCGAUGAAGGACGUGCUAAUCUGCGAAAAGCGUCGGUAAGGUGAUAUGAACCGUUAUAACCGGCGAUGUCCGAAUGGGGAAACCCAGUGUGAUUCGUCACACUAUCGUUAACUGAAUACAUAGGUUAACGAGGCGAACCGGGGGAACUGAAACAUCUAAGUACCCGAGGAAAAGAAAUCAACCGAGAUUCCCCAGUAGCGGCGAGCGAACGGGGAGCAGCCCAGAGUCUGAAUCAGCUUGUGUGUUAGUGGAACGGUCUGGAAAGUCCGACGGUACAGGGUGAUAGUCCCGUACACCAAAAUGCACAGGCUGUGAACUCGAAGAGUAGGGCGGGACACGUGGUAUCCUGUCUGAAUAUGGGGGGACCAUCCUCCAAGGCUAAAUACUCCUGACUGACCGAUAGUGAACCAGUACCGUGAGGGAAAGGCGAAAAGAACCCCGGCGAGGGGAGUGAAAAAGAACCUGAAACCGUGUACGUACAAGCAGUGGGAGCACCUUCGGGUGUGACUGCGUACCUUUUGUAUAAUGGGUCAGCGACUUAUAUUCUGUAGCAAGGUUAACCGUAUAGGGGAGCCGCAGGGAAACCGAGUCUUAACUGGGCGUUAAGUUGCAGGGUAUAGACCCGAAACCCGGUGAUCUAGCCAUGGGCAGGUUGAAGGUUGGGUAACACUAACUGGAGGACCGAACCGACUAAUGUUGAAAAAUUAGCGGAUGACUUGUGGCUGGGGGUGAAAGGCCAAUCAAACCGGGAGAUAGCUGGUUCUCCCCGAAAGCUAUUUAGGUAGCGCCUCGUGAACUCAUCUUCGGGGGUAGAGCACUGUUUCGGCUAGGGGGUCAUCCCGACUUACCAACCCGAUGCAAACUACGAAUACCGAAGAAUGUUAUCACGGGAGACACACGGCGGGUGCUAACGUCCGUCGUGAAGAGGGAAACAACCCAGACCGCCAGCUAAGGUCCCAAAGUCAUGGUUAAGUGGGAAACGAUGUGGGAAGGCACAGACAGCCAGGAUGUUGGCUUAGAAGCAGCCAUCAUUUAAAGAAAGCGUAAUAGCUCACUGGUCGAGUCGGCCUGCGCGGAAGAUGUAACGGGGCUAAACCAUGCACCGAAGCUGCGGCAGCGACACUAUGUGUUGUUGGGUAGGGGAGCGUUCUGUAAGCCUGCGAAGGUGACCUGUGAGGGUUGCUGGAGGUAUCAGAAGUGCGAAUGCUGACAUAAGUAACGAUAAAGCGGGUGAAAAGCCCGCUCGCCGGAAGACCAAGGGUUCCUGUCCAACGUUAAUCGGGGCAGGGUGAGUCGACCCCUAAGGCGAGGCCGAAAGGCGUAGUCGAUGGGAAACAGGUUAAUAUUCCUGUACUUGGUGUUACUGCGAAGGGGGGACGGAGAAGGCUAUGUUAGCCGGGCGACGGUUGUCCCGGUUUAAGCAUGUAGGCUGGUUAUCCAGGCAAAUCCGGAUAAUCAAGGCUGAGGUGUGAUGACGAGGCACUACGGUGCUGAAGUAACAAAUGCCCUGCUUCCAGGAAAAGCCUCUAAGCAUCAGGUAACAUCAAAUCGUACCCCAAACCGACACAGGUGGUCAGGUAGAGAAUACCAAGGCGCUUGAGAGAACUCGGGUGAAGGAACUAGGCAAAAUGGUGCCGUAACUUCGGGAGAAGGCACGCUGGUGUGUAGGUGAAGCCCCUGCGGGUGGAGCUGAGACCAGUCGAAGAUACCAGCUGGCUGCAACUGUUUAUUAAAAACACAGCACUGUGCAAACACGAAAGUGGACGUAUACGGUGUGACGCCUGCCCGGUGCCGGAAGGUUAAUUGAUGGGGUUAUCCGUAAGGAGAAGCUCUUGAUCGAAGCCCCGGUAAACGGCGGCCGUAACUAUAACGGUCCUAAGGUAGCGAAAUUCCUUGUCGGGUAAGUUCCGACCUGCACGAAUGGCGUAAUGAUGGCCAGGCUGUCUCCACCCGAGACUCAGUGAAAUUGAACUCGCUGUGAAGAUGCAGUGUACCCGCGGCAAGACGGAAAGACCCCGUGAACCUUUACUAUAGCUUGACACUGAACAUUGAGCCUUGAUGUGUAGGAUAGGUGGGAGGCUUUGAAGCGUGGACGCCAGUCUGCGUGGAGCCAACCUUGAAAUACCACCCUUUAAUGUUUGAUGUUCUAACGUUGGCCCCUUACCGGGGUUGCGGACAGUGUCUGGUGGGUAGUUUGACUGGGGCGGUCUCCUCCCAAAGCGUAACGGAGGAGCACGAAGGUUAGCUAAUCCUGGUCGGACAUCAGGAGGUUAGUGCAAUGGCAUAAGCUAGCUUGACUGCGAGCGUGACGGCGCGAGCAGGUGCGAAAGCAGGUCAUAGUGAUCCGGUGGUUCUGAAUGGAAGGGCCAUCGCUCAACGGAUAAAAGGUACUCCGGGGAUAACAGGCUGAUACCGCCCAAGAGUUCAUAUCGACGGCGGUGUUUGGCACCUCGAUGUCGGCUCAUCACAUCCUGGGGCUGAAGUAGGUCCCAAGGGUAUGGCUGUUCGCCAUUUAAAGUGGUACGCGAGCUGGGUUUAGAACGUCGUGAGACAGUUCGGUCCCUAUCUGCCGUGGGCGCUGGAGAAUUGAGGGGGGCUGCUCCUAGUACGAGAGGACCGGAGUGGACGCAUCACUGGUGUUCGGGUUGUCAUGCCAAUGGCACUGCCCGGUAGCUAAAUGCGGAAGAGAUAAGUGCUGAAAGCAUCUAAGCACGAAACUUGCCCCGAGAUGAGUUCUCCCUGAGACUUUAAGUCUCCUGAAGGAACGUUGAAGACGACGACGUUGAUAGGCCGGGUGUGUAAGCGCAGCGAUGCGUUGAGCUAACCGGUACUAAUGAACCGUGAGGCUUAACCUUACAACGCCGAAG
Molecule: ribosomal RNA, 2921 nt
Filed under: Klebsiella pneumoniae
Lineage: Bacteria; Pseudomonadati; Pseudomonadota; Gammaproteobacteria; Enterobacterales; Enterobacteriaceae
Description: bacterial LSU rRNA
Rfam family: Bacterial large subunit ribosomal RNA
Source: RNAcentral